RNAcentral lists this ribosomal RNA (462 nucleotides) under uncultured bacterium. RNAcentral's name for it is "partial 16S ribosomal RNA". It matches the Rfam family "Bacterial small subunit ribosomal RNA", at positions 28 to 507 of the family's 1533-position model. The record is from RNAcentral.
GACGAACGCUGGCGGCGUGCUUAACACAUGCAAGUCGAGCGGAAAGGCCCUUCGGGGUACUCGAGCGGCGAACGGGUGAGUAACACGUGAGUAACCUGCCCCAGACUUUGGGAUAACCCUCGGAAACGGGGGCUAAUACCGGAUACGACACAGCUUCGCAUGGGGUCUGUGUGGAAAGUUUUUCGGUUUGGGAUGGGCUCGCGGCCUAUCAGCUUGUUGGCGGGGUGAUGGCCUACCAAGGCGACGACGGGUAGCCGGCCUGAGAGGGCGACCGGCCACACUGGGACUGAGACACGGCCCAGACUCCUACGGGAGGCAGCAGUGGGGAAUAUUGCACAAUGGGCGGAAGCCUGAUGCAGCGACGCCGCGUGAGGGAUGACGGCCUUCGGGUUGUAAACCUCUUUCAGCAGGGACGAAGCGUAAGUGACGGUACCUGCAGAAGAAGCGCCGGCCAACUACGUG